GACGAACGCUGGCGGCGUGCCUAAUACAUGCAAGUCGAACGCACGAAGUUGAAGAGCUUGCUCUUUAACCAGGUGAGUGGCGGACGGGUGAGUAACACGUGGGUAACCUGCCCAUUAGAGGGGGAUAACAUUCGGAAACGGAUGCUAAUACCGCAUAGUUUCAGGAAUCGCAUGAUUCUUGAAGGAAAGGUGGCUUCGGCUACCACUAAUGGAUGGACCCGCGGCGUAUUAGCUAGUUGGUGAGGUAAUGGCUCACCAAGGCAAUGAUACGUAGCCGACCUGAGAGGGUGAUCGGCCACACUGGGACUGAGACACGGCCCAGACUCCUACGGGAGGCAGCAGUAGGGAAUCUUCCGCAAUGGACGAAAGUCUGACGGAGCAACGCCGCGUGAGUGAAGAAGGUUUUCGGAUCGUAAAACUCUGUUGUUAAAGAAGAACAAGGAUGAGAGUAACUGCUCAUCCCCUGACGGUAUUUAACCAGAAAGCCACGGCUAACUACGUGCCAGCAGCCGCGGUAAUACGUAGGUGGCAAGCGUUGUCCGGAUUUAUUGGGCGUAAAGCGAGCGCAGGCGGUUCUUUAAGUCUGAUGUGAAAGCCCCCGGCUCAACCGGGGAGGGUCAUUGGAAACUGGAGAACUUGAGUGCAGAAGAGGAGAGUGGAUUCCACGUGUAGCGGUGAAAUGCGUAGAUAUGUGGAGGAACACCAGUGGCGAAGGCAACUCUCUGGUCUGUACUGACGCUGAGGCUCGAAAGCGUGGGGAGCAACAUG
This 768-nucleotide ribosomal RNA is filed under the name uncultured Vagococcus sp. RNAcentral's name for it is "bacterial SSU rRNA". It matches the Rfam family "Bacterial small subunit ribosomal RNA", at positions 28 to 775 of the family's 1533-position model. Lineage: Bacteria; Bacillati; Bacillota; Bacilli; Lactobacillales; Enterococcaceae. The record is from RNAcentral.